GGGUCGGUAGUCUAGCUUGGUAUCUGAUUCAUGCUUGGGGUGCAUGAGACCGCGUGUUCAAGUCACGCCCGGCCCACCA
Molecule: transfer RNA, 79 nt
Filed under: Promethearchaeota archaeon
Lineage: Archaea; Promethearchaeati; Promethearchaeota
Also listed under: 1 other name
Description: Candidatus Lokiarchaeota archaeon (microbial mat metagenome) tRNA-Pro
Source: RNAcentral